RNAcentral lists this ribosomal RNA (468 nucleotides) under uncultured bacterium. RNAcentral's name for it is "partial 16S ribosomal RNA". It matches the Rfam family "Bacterial small subunit ribosomal RNA", at positions 28 to 507 of the family's 1533-position model. The record is from RNAcentral.
GACGAACGCUGGCGGCGUGCUUAACACAUGCAAGUCGAACGGAAAGGCCCUGCUUUUGUGGGGUGCUCGAGUGGCGAACGGGUGAGUAACGCGUGAGUAACCUGCCCUUGACUUUGGGAUAACUUCAGGAAACUGGGGCUAAUACCGGAUAGGAGCUCCUGCUGCAUGGUGGGGGUUGGAAAGUUUCGGCGGUUGUGGAUGGACUCGCGGCUUAUCAGCUUGUUGGUGGGGUAGUGGCUUACCAAGGCUUUGACGGGUAGCCGGCCUGAGAGGGUGACCGGCCACAUUGGGACUGAGAUACGGCCCAGACUCCUACGGGAGGCAGCAGUGGGGAAUAUUGCACAAUGGGCGGAAGCCUGAUGCAGAAACGCCGCGUGCGGGAUGACGGCCUUCGGGUUGUAAACCGCUUUCGCCUGUGACGAAGAGUGAGUGACGGUAAUGGGUAAAGAAGCACCGGCUAACUACGUG